UGAGGAAUAUUGGACAAUGGGCGCAAGCCUGAUCCAGCCAUGCCGCGUGCAGGAAGACGGCCCUAUGGGUUGUAAACUGCUUUUAUACGGGAAGAAUAAGGGACACGUGUGUCCUGGUGACGGUACCGUAAGAAUAAGGACCGGCUAACUCCGUGCCAGCAGCCGCGGUAAUACGGAGGGUCCGAGCGUUAUCCGGAAUUAUUGGGUUUAAAGGGUCCGCAGGCGGGCAAUUAAGUCAGGGGUGAAAUGGUGCGGCUCAACCGUAGCACUGCCCUUGAUACUGGUUGUCUUGAGUCAUAGUGAAGUGGCCGGAAUAUGUAGUGUAGCGGUGAAAUGCAUAGAUAUUACAUAGAACACCGAUUGCGAAGGCAGGUCACUAACUAUGUACUGACGCUGAUGGACGAAAGCGUGGGGAGCGAACGGGAUUAGAUACCCCGGUAGUCCACGCCGUAAACGAUGGAUACUAGCUGUCGGGACUUCGGUCUCGGCGGCCAAGCGAAAGUGAUAAGUAUCCCACCUGGGGAGUACGUUCGCAAGAAUG
RNAcentral lists this ribosomal RNA (541 nucleotides) under uncultured Bacteroidota bacterium. RNAcentral's name for it is "bacterial SSU rRNA". It matches the Rfam family "Bacterial small subunit ribosomal RNA", at positions 355 to 896 of the family's 1533-position model. The record is from RNAcentral. Lineage: Bacteria; Pseudomonadati; Bacteroidota.